Phrynosoma platyrhinos (Desert horned lizard) is the source of this 72-nucleotide non-coding RNA. The record is from the annotation of a GenBank genome assembly. NCBI's taxonomy places the organism in Eukaryota, Metazoa, Chordata, Lepidosauria, Squamata, Phrynosomatidae.
GCCAGUGUGGUGUAGUGGUUUGAGUGUUGGACUAUGAUUCUGGAGACCAAGGUUCAAUUCCCAGCGUGGUCA